Molecule: long non-coding RNA, 259 nt
Filed under: Mytilus galloprovincialis (Mediterranean mussel)
Lineage: Eukaryota; Metazoa; Mollusca; Bivalvia; Mytilida; Mytilidae
Source: RNAcentral
GUUACAAAAAAAAAAGCAUUCAGUACUUAAAAUAAAUAUGAACAAGGACAUCCUGUGUUAUGCAAAGAUGUGUAUUUCGGCACAAGCGAUGACCUAUAGACCGUGUGUAUCAUAUGUAUAUUUAGUGUGGGUUGCUCCGAAUUAAGAAGGUAUAAAUACAGGAAAAUAAAGAAAAAAAAAUACAAAAUUAGAUUAGAGUAUAACGGGCAAAAUAAAGAACAGAGGAACAUGGUAUAAGAAAAUUCAAGAAUAGAGGGAC